AAUAGAUACCCGGGUAGUCCACGCCGUAAACGAUGAGUGCUAAGUGUUAGAGGGUUUCCGCCCUUUAGUGCUGCAGCUAACGCAUUAAGCACUCCGCCUGGGGAGUACGGCCGCAAGGCUGAAACUCAAAGGAAUUGACGGGGGCCCGCACAAGCGGUGGAGCAUGUGGUUUAAUUCGAAGCAACGCGAAGAACCUUACCAGGUCUUGACAUCCUCUGCCAACCCUAGAGAUAGGGCGUUCCCCUUCGGGGGACAGAGUGACAGGUGGUGCAUGGUUGUCGUCAGCUCGUGUCGUGAGAUGUUGGGUUAAGUCCCGCAACGAGCGCAACCCUUGAUCUUAGUUGCCAGCAUUCAGUUGGGCACUCUAAGGUGACUGCCGGUGACAAACCGGAGGAAGGUGGGGAUGACGUCAAAUCAUCAUGCCCCUUAUGACCUGGGCUACACACGUGCUACAAUGGACGGUACAAACGGUUGCCAACCCGCGAGGGGGAGCUAAUCCGAUAAAACCGUUCUCAGUUCGGAUUGUAGGCUGCAACUCGCCUAC
RNAcentral lists this ribosomal RNA (544 nucleotides) under uncultured bacterium. RNAcentral describes it as "bacterial SSU rRNA". It matches the Rfam family "Bacterial small subunit ribosomal RNA", at positions 777 to 1319 of the family's 1533-position model. The record is from RNAcentral.